GAAGCGUGCGAUUGGAUUGCACGUCUAAGCAGUAAGGCUGAGUAUUAGGCAAAUCCGGUACUCAUUAAGGCUGAGCUGUGAUGGGGAGAAGACAUUGUGUCUUCGAGUCGUUGAUUUCACACUGCCGAGAAAAGCCUCUAGAUAGAAAAUAGGUGCCCGUACCGCAAACCGACACAGGUAGUCAAGAUGAGAAUUCUAAGGUGAGCGAGCGAACUCUCGUUAAGGAACUCGGCAAAAUGACCCCGUAACUUCGGGAGAAGGGGUGCUCUUUAGGGUUAACGCCCAGAAGAGCCGCAGUGAAUAGGCCCAAGCGACUGUUUAUCAAAAACACAGGUCUCUGCUAAACCGUAAGGUGAUGUAUAGGGGCUGACGCCUGCCCGGUGCUGGAAGGUUAAGAGGAGUGGUUAGCUUCUGCGAAGCUACGAAUCGAAGCCCCAGUAAACGGCGGCCGUAACUAUAACGGUCCUAAGGUAGCGAAAUUCCUUGUCGGGUAAGUUCCGACCCGCACGAAAGGCGUAACGAUUUGGGCACUGUCUCAACGAGAGACUCGGUGAAAUCAUAGUACCUGUGAAGAUGCAGGUUACCCGCGACAGGACGGAAAGACCCCGUGGAGCUUUACUGUAGCCUGAUAUUGAAAUUCGGCACAG
This 647-nucleotide ribosomal RNA is filed under the name Staphylococcus aureus. RNAcentral's name for it is "partial 23S ribosomal RNA". It matches the Rfam family "Bacterial large subunit ribosomal RNA", at positions 1488 to 2132 of the family's 2925-position model. The record is from RNAcentral. Lineage: Bacteria; Bacillati; Bacillota; Bacilli; Caryophanales; Staphylococcaceae.